Molecule: small nuclear RNA, 108 nt
Filed under: Catagonus wagneri (Chacoan peccary)
Lineage: Eukaryota; Metazoa; Chordata; Mammalia; Artiodactyla; Tayassuidae
Source: RNAcentral
GUGCUCACUUUGGAAGCAAAUAUACUAAAUUUGGGAAUAAUAUGGAAAAGAUCAGCAUCGCCCUUGCAGAAAGAUGAUAAAUAGAUUCGUGAAGGAAAAAAAUGGUGU